RNAcentral lists this ribosomal RNA (751 nucleotides) under Enterococcus sp. FBPers-10_02-11. RNAcentral's name for it is "bacterial SSU rRNA". It matches the Rfam family "Bacterial small subunit ribosomal RNA", at positions 93 to 830 of the family's 1533-position model. The record is from RNAcentral. Lineage: Bacteria; Bacillati; Bacillota; Bacilli; Lactobacillales; Enterococcaceae.
GAGUGGCGAACGGGUGAGUAACACGUGGGUAACCUGCCCAUCAGAAGGGGAUAACACUUGGAAACAGGUGCUAAUACCGUAUAACAAUCGAAACCGCAUGGUUUUGAUUUGAAAGGCGCUUUCGGGUGUCGCUGAUGGAUGGACCCGCGGUGCAUUAGCUAGUUGGUGAGGUAACGGCUCACCAAGGCCACGAUGCAUAGCCGACCUGAGAGGGUGAUCGGCCACAUUGGGACUGAGACACGGCCCAAACUCCUACGGGAGGCAGCAGUAGGGAAUCUUCGGCAAUGGACGAAAGUCUGACCGAGCAACGCCGCGUGAGUGAAGAAGGUUUUCGGAUCGUAAAACUCUGUUGUUAGAGAAGAACAAGGAUGAGAGUAACUGUUCAUCCCUUGACGGUAUCUAACCAGAAAGCCACGGCUAACUACGUGCCAGCAGCCGCGGUAAUACGUAGGUGGCAAGCGUUGUCCGGAUUUAUUGGGCGUAAAGCGAGCGCAGGCGGUUUCUUAAGUCUGAUGUGAAAGCCCCCGGCUCAACCGGGGAGGGUCAUUGGAAACUGGGAGACUUGAGUGCAGAAGAGGAGAGUGGAAUUCCAUGUGUAGCGGUGAAAUGCGUAGAUAUAUGGAGGAACACCAGUGGCGAAGGCGGCUCUCUGGUCUGUAACUGACGCUGAGGCUCGAAAGCGUGGGGAGCAAACAGGAUUAGAUACCCUGGUAGUCCACGCCGUAAACGAUGAGUGCUAAGUGUUGGAGGG